GCGGACCUCAUAAAGUGCGUCGUAGUCCGGAUUGGAGUCUGCAACUCGACUCCAUGAAGUCGGAAUCGCUAGUAAUCGUGGAUCAGAAUGCCACGGUGAAUACGUUCCCGGGCCUUGUACACACCGCCCGUCACACCAUGGGAGUGGGUUGCAAAAGAAGUAGGUAGCUUAACCUUCGGGAGGGCGCUUACCACUUUGUGAUUCAUGACUGGGGUGAAGUCGUAACAAGGUAACCGUAGGGGAACCUGCGGUUGGAUCAC
This 260-nucleotide ribosomal RNA is filed under the name Escherichia coli. RNAcentral describes it as "partial 16S ribosomal RNA". It matches the Rfam family "Bacterial small subunit ribosomal RNA", at positions 1267 to 1526 of the family's 1533-position model. The record is from RNAcentral. Lineage: Bacteria; Pseudomonadati; Pseudomonadota; Gammaproteobacteria; Enterobacterales; Enterobacteriaceae.